GUUACAAGAGCCCUGCUUCAGCCAGCUCAGGGGGAAAGUGAUCCAGAGAGAGACCAUAUAAAGAGGUCCGUGCAAUGCAGCCUGCAGGUGAAAAGAGGCCAACAGUCACCAACUCUUUCUUUCUCUGCGGGUGAAAAGAGGCCAACUAACUGUUACCAACUCUCUCUUCUCUUUUCCUAAGGCCUGUGAUUUGGAGGUAAGGCCCAGUGCCCACCCUUCCCCAGGGCACAGAGGUAGGGGGUCCAGGAUUAAGCCUUCUGCAGCUGAUACAACUGGCCAGGGGUAAAGGAGGAGAAGAAGGUAAGUGAAUUAAGGAGUCAUAACUCCUAGGGAGUGACUCCAGUGCUCUACGGGGCCCACCUGAGCCCCACAUCUUUAGGAUUUAUGCAGUUGCCAUGUCUCCUUGAGGCCCUGCCUCCUAACUCAAGUCACCAGAUUAUUUAUUCCUGCUAGUGUCAGCUGAGGGGACUGAAAUCAACGCCAGCUCACCCAGAGCACACAGGGGAGCAAGUAGGGGAGAAGGAUCAGGGCAAGAGUAGUGUAUCCAUGCAGACAGAGAGACAGACAGACAGACAGACACACACACACACACAAACACGCCAGAAUCGGCUCACAACCCCAUCCCCCACAGCCACAAUACAAGUCUGCAAGACCUAAGACAGACCCAAGCGCCUAGUCCUGACAGCGCCUAGGGAAUUGUGGAGGUUAUUUUAAGGUUGUUUCCACAUCCUUAUCUUCCCCGCCCCAUCCAACAAACAGACAAAAACAAACAGGCCAGCGGAGGCCUGGGCUGUUCACGCGGAGAGGCGGACCCCUCCACCCCUCCUCCACUCUCAGACUCCUCCCAACCAAAUUCCUCCAGGCAGGGCCCCUAUCACCCCAUUCAUCUCAUCUGAGGGGGCUAACCCUGCUGUCCAUUCUGAAAAGCUGCUUCCUCUAAUUGCUUUUUCCUCCUCUAUUUCCUAGGAAUUCACUGGCACGGACUUCGAUGGGAUGGGAUAGGGCACUUAGUGGCCAGGCUGGUCAUUCUUACGACAGACGUCUGAGCCCUAGGAGAGACCAAAGAGACUCAUUAGGCAACCGAUCAAGCAGUCAAUCAGUCAAUCAACCAGCAAGCCAAGGACAAAGCUCCAACUGAGAAGAGGUUCACUAACUUGGAAAUUUGUGGAUGUUUAAUCAAAAUGAAGAAACUCUGCCCUGCUUCAGAAGAGUGUCCUUCCAGCGACCGUUUGGUGGCUUUUGUGUUUUUUCUGUGGGGGAGGGGCAGGAGGGAGGCUCUUACUUGACUAUCUGAGGAUGGGGGCUAGUAAAUGAGUGGGAAGUUGGGGGUGCGGGGUCUCUGUCUUCCCCCGCAUCCAUA
Molecule: long non-coding RNA, 1360 nt
Organism: Papio anubis (olive baboon)
Lineage: Eukaryota; Metazoa; Chordata; Mammalia; Primates; Cercopithecidae
Source: Ensembl